This is a long non-coding RNA of Suricata suricatta (meerkat), 908 nucleotides long. RefSeq lists it as uncharacterized. The transcript is spliced from 7 exons. NCBI's taxonomy places the organism in Eukaryota, Metazoa, Chordata, Mammalia, Carnivora, Herpestidae. The record is from RefSeq and is a predicted model, not a curated record.
CUUAGAGCCAAGCUUGGAGCAUUGAUUUCCAGGUCUAUGGGUGAGCCAAGCAUGCAUCUACUCUGGCCAAGCCUUCUGAUUCUUUCAGGACUGGCCAUCUUCUAACUGAACCUGCAUGAGAAACUCCAAGACAUUGUGACAUUGACAUGGUAAUAGCUGGCUUUUCGAAUUCUGAUUUCUGAGAGCAAAUUUCAGUUUAAGGUGAUGACUGAACAAAACCAUUGGUGGCAUAUCAAUCAUUGAGCAGAGAAGCAGAGAAGUGACAUGGAGUAGAGGGUUUAUUAUAGGGAUUUAGCGUGAUGCACUCGUGAGAUCUGGCCACUCAUGGUCCUCUGUGACCCAGAAGCAAAUGAUUCUCCCCUGACAUAUGGUCAGAAGGUCUAUAGUAGCUUAAAGUGAUGUCACAGCAUCUGCAUCAUUCACCACACUUCAUCUUAUCAGUAAUGGAAGAGUAGGUGUCCUUAUGAAUUGUUCCUGGGACACUAUGCAAUAAUUUCUGUAUGUGUAAGAGACCUGCUACAUAAAAGUCCUCUUGAUUCCAUGCUCUCGGUCCCAGAGGAUGAUCUUUCAACAGAGAGGAACAUUGUUUGCUCACAAGAGGACUUUUCCUGCCAGUUACAGGAAGCCGUGACACCCAUUGACUUGGAGAUGGGCGACCAUAUCAUAGAAAUGAUGGCAGUAAAACUAAAUUUAAAUUCAUAAACUGAACUUUGAAAUUGCAUACAAGAAAAAUUUAGAUUUGAGCAGAGUAGUUUUUUUCCCCCUACUUUCAGACCCAUUGAGACUCCUUUGGCUAACAGAGGAUUAUUAGAGACUACACCUAUAGGAUGUGGGCCAAAAGAACACAGGAGAGACCAUCUUCAAAGAUUUUUCUUUUACAAGUUUUAGAUGAUAAAUGUAUCAGAAAA